ACGACCUUACUUGAACAGGAUCUGUUCUAUAGGCUCGUACCGCUGCAUCCUUUACCAAUAAGGAGGCAAGCACUUCAGUCUGCUUGAUGCAUUCUGACCUCUGGGCCAGAGCGUGAUUAACGGCCUGGAUGAAUCCUGAUGGGUGUAGAGGAUCGUUCCUGUCCAGUUAACACUGGUGCAGGGGGUGGCUUGCAGGUUGUCUGACAGACU
Molecule: small nucleolar RNA, 210 nt
Organism: Triticum dicoccoides
Lineage: Eukaryota; Viridiplantae; Streptophyta; Magnoliopsida; Poales; Poaceae
Product: small nucleolar RNA U3
Exons: 1
Source: RefSeq, a predicted model, not a curated record